GCCUGCGGCUUAAUUUGACUCAACACGGGGAAACUCACCAGGUCCAGACAUAACUAGGAUUGACAGAUUGAUAGCUCUUUCAUGAUUUUAUGGGUGGUGGUGCAUGGCCGUUCUUAGUUGGUGGAGUGAUUUGUCUGGUUAAUUCCGAUAACGAACGAGACCUUAACCUGCUAAAUAGCCAGGCCGGCUUUCGCUGGUCGCCGGCUUCUUAGAGGGAC
RNAcentral lists this ribosomal RNA (218 nucleotides) under Pleurotus eryngii. RNAcentral's name for it is "partial 16S ribosomal RNA". It matches the Rfam family "Eukaryotic small subunit ribosomal RNA", at positions 1181 to 1420 of the family's 1831-position model. RNAcentral also lists the same sequence under 1 other name. The record is from RNAcentral. Lineage: Eukaryota; Fungi; Basidiomycota; Agaricomycetes; Agaricales; Pleurotaceae.